This is a non-coding RNA of Megalopta genalis, 5755 nucleotides long. The record is from RefSeq and is a predicted model, not a curated record. NCBI's taxonomy places the organism in Eukaryota, Metazoa, Arthropoda, Insecta, Hymenoptera, Halictidae.
ACCCCGACUUGGAAAUAAAAGGCAAGUUGGAACGGAGCGCCGCCGUUAUCGGAUCGGGAGGGGGGGAUUAUUCGUAUCAGGAAGUUCGUUAGGGGCUGAUACGACGUCGAAUCCUUUUUCACGCCGGCCCGCUAAUUGAACUAGUUUGGCAAGGUGUCUCGUUCCGGACUUUAGUAGUCCGAUACCGUUACAGGGACGUGUAAUGGCCGAACUGGCCGCUAUUCCAAUCGUCAUAAAUUGUCGCGGGGAACGUGACGAUCGUACUGAGUAGCCAAUAGAUGCGCUCUCUCGCCUGUCAUUUGACCCCUGCAGCUUCUCCCGGCGUUUCGCGCCCCGGCUAUACACGCCCGGUGGCUUUGUCUACCGAUUCGCAUACGCCAACGGAUUUAUCAGCACAGGAAGAUCGCGUUCGAUACAACGAAACGACCCCCGCCUCUACUUCUUCACAAUGUUGAUACGAUUCGAGACGAAGGAGUGGUUUAUUUUAAAAGACGCUAUCACGUACAAGAAGAAUUGGAGGCUUUUCUCUUAGCUUCGCAGUUGAAUCGGCGCUAUACAUAUGAUGUGGUACUAUAAUACGUACGUUCCCGCAAGAAGAUGACUCCCAAGACUUCCGGCGCUGGAAUAUUAGCUUCUUCUGAGGAACGUAACGGAACGCGAAGCAUUUCGGGCUCACAAUGAGAGGCGGACGUAGACACGAGACGCGAUAUACGCCGGGAAUGGAACACACCGCGGAGAUUGUACUAAUUAAGUCCCACCUCUCCUAUUAAUUGCCAACGUUCCAGCCUUGUCAAUGCUCGCCGUUCGUCGCUAUGGCUGCGGACACCAGCCGUUCAUCGCUGCGGCUGCGGCCGCCAGUCAUGUAGUUAACAGAAUUUCGAUAUCGACAUGCUCCACUUACGUAACUACUUGCUUCUCGAUGCUAGAUCAAGAGUUGUCCCAACUUCGAUACCAACCGCCGCUACUCGCUAAUAACAAUAACAAAUCUGGUUCAGUCCUGUUCUGAUAACCGGCGGCGACAACCGCAGUUGGCAGAAAUGUCGAAGCUGGUCCGGAUGUUUUUGCUACGGAAGGAGGCGGUGGACAAUUCUUUGACCAACCUGAGCCCUAAUGAACGCGAGUGGAGUUCAUAAGACAGUUGUCAUUACCGGGAUGAAACUUGCGAGUAUUCUUGGAAACGUUAAAGAGCCCCAGCCUAUCCUGUUUUUAAUUGAUCUCGCGCGGAAUUCUGGGGAAGCCGGUCGAGCGAUAUUGAAUCCGUGGAUAACUUUUCGCGGAGUUGGACCUCGUCUAUCCUGGCACGUCGUUAAGAAAGCCCAGAGGGAACGAACCGGUGGCACGAUUUUAUUGGACCGAUGGUCUAGCGCCGGGAAAAAGGGGUGUACGUGUUUACAUUGCCAAGAAGGAAAUUCGCAGCGAAAACACAUUGUCCUAGGAAAACAGGGUGAGGAAAUCCCGGGGCGAAACGAGUCUGUGCGCUUUAACGCGUCCUUGCGUUCGAAUAAUUCGCGGAUGCAAAUUAGUCCGGGUUUAAACGCGGGAGCCGAUAUGGAGCGAGCAAUUAUAAUCGCGAUAAUAACUUUUCUAAUUAAUUUCGGAAGUUUUAAUUCGACGUCCGAACUCAUAUCCUUGCCGCUGGCCGCAAUACAGGUCAAUUAUUCACCCACUUCCGGCGCCGACUGGCAAGUUCCAGUUUUAAUUCGGGCCGGGCAUAAUGGAAUCGUUGUUUCGAAACUUUUUAAUAGUUCUCGCCGUUCGUGUCCGCGGAGGACAUGUUGACGUCCGGAUCCGCCACUUUUGCCAUAAAUCCGUCGACUUUUACUGUCCGCUCACUUUUUAUAUCGCAUCGUGAAUCACCUCUUCGCUUUACUAAUUUUCCUCGCGGGACAUAUGAUUCAGAUGCACAGAGUUAUUCGUGGAGGAAUAAACGAUUUGUGCUUUUGAAAUUUUUCGACUACGCGCGACCAAUGGUUCUCGAGAUAUUCGAUCAAAUGGAUUUUCGAGUCGCUCAUCAGGGACGUGACAAAGUCGGGUGCAAGAGGGGAACUCGAGGAUCCGACUCGUCAAGAGAAACCGAAGAAGGGAAGGGGGACAGGUGGCGGUCGCCCAACUCGAAGGAACCCGAAAAGCUGACGUUUCGCUUACGUGCAGAAAUUGGCAAACGUAGGAUAUAUUCCUUGCAUCCAGAUGAAUUUGUCAAGUGGGGGGAGACGAAAAUCCGACAGACGAACCUGGUCGAACCACCUUCGCGUACGCUAUCUGCUACAAUCCACCAAUUAUUUAUAUGAAACCGAAACAAAGGUGGCGGACGAUGUGUCUACGCCAGCAGAAAAAUGGCGGACGUCGCCGCCAUAUUGGACCACGAGAAAACUCCAAGGAGAAAACGAUGUUUGGUAGUCUAAAGGAAUCGUAUUAUUUUUUCGGGAUUGGCGGAUUGAAUCAUCGACCUCGACAGGAUGUAUCAAAUCGAUUUAUCGAACUGGAAAAAAAUGAUGGGGGUGGUAAGCAGCUCACGGAGCGGCGCUUCGACACCGAUUGAAACUUGGCGUGUCCGUGCCGAAGGUGUUGAGUGCAUUUCUCGGGGCAUGACGUGAAUGGCCGAGCGGAGCCGAGUUUUAAAAUAAGACAAAGCCCGCCCCCCUGCCCACCCCCUCUGCACCUGGGGUUCUUCUCCUUUCGUUGUUUUCGCAGGGCGAUCACGCGCCACCGGCCGUCCAACUUCGCCGGCUAAUCAGAAAAAUCCACACUCCGGCGACCUUAUUGAAUUGUCUCUGACGACCGGUCGCUCCUCUGUGCCUCUGAUGACGGCCUAUUCGCAUGAGAGAAAUGGGGAGAAGGGGCAAUUCCUUUUGGUCUUAGUUUCUUCGUCUCGGGCGUGAGACUACCGCGAGGUUCUCCGUGGGAGACUUGGGACAAGGGUUGCCGGGUCUUGGGAAUGAAGCUGUAGGAGGAUUUGAUAUUGUGGAAGAUCUUGCGGCGAGUCUCUUCAGUUCAAAGAAAAAGUAACUAGCGACUUCAAUGGUUUCUGAAUUUUCGGGAACUGUUGUGCAAUCUAGGACAGCUACGAUGUCCACGGAUACCCGAUGAACGCCGGUGGAUCUCGAUUUUUCUCCAUUUACUCUUCCUCCGAUCCUUUCUUUAAUUCUUUCAAUUCUCUAGGAUUUGUCUUUAAAUCCCUGUCUUCGUUAGUUCCGCCUUUUCUUCGAUGUCAUCCUCAGUCUUCUCCCUAGAAUCUGAAGUCUCUGUCCCUUUAGUACCUGGGAAUUCCUAGUUCCUAGCCCCUAGGUUUCUAAUUUCUUCCCCGGAAGACGAUUUUCCACCACGUUGAAGAAGAAAAACCCUCUAAAACCACGGUCUGUAAUAGAAUUCCCCUAAUUACCAUCCGACAAUCGAAUAUUCAACAUCAAUCCAAUUAGCAAUUCAUUGUAAAGUUGUUUCAGGAGUACAAAAAUAUCCCUAAUCUGCCGCAACAGGUAGGAAAAAUUCGCAAAAAUUAGCAAAGAUUAGCUAGCUACUCGUUACAAGAAUUUUUCUCCUAUAUGACAACUAAAAAAGAUAAUGUAUUUCAGGUAUCCAGAAGAGGAGUAUGACGCAGACAGAAUAGUUUCAAUCCCGAAACGUUUCCAUACCCUGUCCGAUAAAUACGGGGCGACGUUGAACGUGUUACUAUAGCGCAUUAACGCGGAAAUAAAAUUUCUGCACGUGACGGGGCCGCUGUGGCAAUAUCGAAUGGGAUCGAUCGGUGCCGAUUCGGAGCCGUUCACCUGCGAAAACACACGGGAAAUUUGAGACCGCCGCAGCCGAUGCCGUGGAGGGAUUCCGAGAAUGACUCAAUGUUAUCGAAUUAAUUGCCACUGGAAUGCAAAGUCCGCUGGAACAAAUGCGAAUCCGAUAUCCGCGGGGAUCGCUUUGCGCUUUUCGAACACGCGGCCCGUUCGCGCCGAUAAAUAAUCAGAAUCGGCGGGAAGGUUGACGUCAUUUGUUCGCACGUUCUUCUAGGUUCCAAAAAUGAUUUUUCUAUCUAAUUGUCGUCAUCGGUUCAGGUAAAAUUUAACGCGAAUGGCCGUCCGAAAAUUCGAUCAAUGCAGGACCGUCUUUGCAACACAACGUGCGAAAGGAACAAUUACUCCGGCCUGGUCUCUCUUCCGCUACUUAAUCUCGAGCAGCCAUAGGACAAGCUAUGUUAUUUAAUUAAAUACUCGCCGAGCUAUGGCUAAUGAAGCAAGGAUGAAAUAUUUCCGGAUACAUUACAACGGAACGCCGGUGAUUCUCGCAGCCGUCGUUGCGCCCUAUCACGCGUAUUCCCGUCGGUUUAUCACACUGUGCCAUGCACCGCUGGAAAAUUCGAAUAAAAUAUAUCAGUCGGUUAAAUAAGCCACGAAAUUACAGGCAGCUCUGGCCGAACGUUGCAACGACAGCUUCUAUUAAAUGCCUCGUUGCAGAACAUUCUAGCAAGGACCUCAGAAACCGCGAAAUUAAUUUCAUUCUACAAAGAUCGGACCGCAACGCUGCACUCCUCCAUUUAUUCUCCACGCGGGGAGGCACGCGAAAGGAGAACCAAAAAGUAUAGCGAAGUUCUGCAAACAUUGCGAAACAACAUGCAAAGGAUUGCACAUCGAAAACUGUUCUCGUUUUUCGUUUUUUUGAGAAAAAUCGCCGAGUUGACAUUGGAGUAUCGUUCCAAAGCAAAUAGCAUUUUUAUUAUACCAGUUUUUUCGAGGACGCGAGUCAGCCAGGACGAAAAGAAAAUAUAUCUCGACACCACCCUCGCACGUUCUCCAACAAAAUGCAGAAGCUGCACCGCGAAAGCUCCACAAAUUUCCCAAGGAAAAAAUCGCAAAGAUAACACUGGAAUAUCCGCUAUAAGCAAAUAGUAUAUUACUAUAGUAUUUUUCCCGAGGACACCGGCGACCGAACACGAAAGAAAAAUACGCCUCCAUCUUCUCCGAACAUUGCGCAAGAAGACGCAAAAAAUCGCAGCUCGGAAGCUCCGCUUAUAACGGCAGAAAAAAAUCGCGAAGCUGCUCAUAAUGUGAUAGCCGCGCGGACACGGUCGUCCAACUGGUCAACGGGCAUCAAGGGGCGCAAAGGCGCUGGUUGGCGCGGGGCCAUCUAAUACACCAUUCCUCUUUACACCGACCUCGCAUCAUUGCUCUUUACAUUUUUUCCGUUUUCCCAUCCCGGCCCGGCCCCUUGUUAAACCCCGUGGACAUUCUUCGCAUUGGCGAUUCCUCGUCCACCGGAAGUCGAGGAGAGGACCCUGGAUCGGAAAAUCAGUAGCUCGCACCUGUCGACCCUCCGCGCGUCUUCCUCCGAUGCAUAUAUGCAUGCGUUAUGCAUAAUCCAGGCGCGUCGUGACCCCGGUCCACGUAGACCUGCUAGAAUGAAUCGCGUAACACGCCCCGCGUCUAGGGGAAUUCUAUCCGGUGCCCGCAAAGUGCUGUUUGCUGAUCGAUUCUGAUGGGAGCCGGCAACUUCGCCAACGGAACCUCGAAACUCACGGAAAAUUACGAAUUUCCACGUUUGCUCCGUUUCCUCCAUCGAACAAUUUCCUCUAAUACCGGCGAACAAAUAGAUGUCAAUUGUUCCGCGCCUGGAUAAUCGCUGGACUUGAGACUCUACGGGAUGGCGUACCAAGAAAAGUCUCUCCGGAUUAUUAUAAAACAAGGAACAACUCGGGAAAAAUCGUUCGACAGAUUUGUCGCGUUUAUUUGAUACAAUAUUCGCCAUGAAUAAAUUGUCCGACGUUAUUCGA